AUGACCCAACGAAAACAUAUAUUUGACAGUUCUUUCAUAGGAGUUUGUCAUUUCUUGGGGUAGUUUAAUGACCCUGGUGUUAGUGUGACCUUUCCUCUGUACCAUGACCCUAAGAAAACAUAUUUGACAUGGCUUUCCUAGGAGUUGUGGGCAUUUCCAGGGGUAGUUUUAUGACCCUGAUGGUAGUGUGACCCUUCCUCUGUACCGUGAACCUAAAAACACAUAUUUGACAAGGCUUUCAUAGGAGUUGUGGGCAUUUCCUGGGAUAGUUGAAUGACCCUGGUGGUAGUCUGACCCUUCCUCUGUACCAUGACCCUAAGAAAACAUAUAUUUGACAAGGCUUUCAUAGGAGUUGUUGGCAUUUUCAGGGGUAGUUUAAUGACCCUGGUGGUAGUGUGACCCUUCCCCUGUACCAUAAUGCUACAGAAGCACUCAUUAGAACCAAAUUGAUCUCUUUUUUUAGCCUUUGCAAGUAGUUAAUGUUAGAGUCGGAAACAUCUGACAAUCCCAUCUUCUUACAGGCCAAGCAGUGCAGAGGAGAAGGAGGAGGAAGAAGAAGAGGAGGAUGUGAGUUCUAUACAUAAAGGCAGAUCAAUAUAUAGAAGCUUAUGGAGUAGAGGAAAUAUGUCAUUCUAUGUAUUAAAGAGGAUAAGAGGGAGGAGAAGGUUAACUUGUAAAUAUAGGCAGAAGUUUAUGUGCCAAGGAAAAUAUUUAAAUGAUUUGUAUUAUGCAUGUAUUGAAAUGUUAUGAACUUGGAUGUUUGUAUGUAUAAGGCUAUGGGAUUUACUUACAAGGUCUGUGGUGUUUUUUUUUACUUAUAAGGUUGUACUUAGGAUUUUACUUAUAAGUUCUGUGGCUGUGGGUAACUCCUACAAAGCCUUUCUACUAUGGCUAUUAAUUAACCAAAACCUCAUUCUUUCAGCUUGUGUACUGGCUCAGAAAGUAGUGAAAGGGUGCAUGUUAUCGAUGAAGGCUAUAUCAAUAAGUAUGGAAGUGCGUUAUGGCUAUUAACAACAAUCUCUCUUUCAGCAUGUGUACGGGGAUAGAAAGUUACUUGGCAUGUAUUGAAAUGUCAUGCACUGAGAGUAUUUACGUAAAGGGCCGGGGCUAUUUCUUAUAAGCUACCAAGGACAACCUCUGCUGCUCCGGGUAUCAACUCCUGCACUCCUGGGACUGGCAUAACAUCUGCAUGCCCUUGUAACAACUCACUCUGCUUCUGCUAUUCAUAACACCCCGUUCUGCGUCUGCUGUCGUAACAGGGCAUGGCUUCUGUAUACUAACUCCUGCUCGCAUAACCCGCAUGGAUUUACACUUCUAUCUCUGCUUCUGGCUUUCAUACCUAUCAACACAUUCUGCGCCUUCCUUCGUAACUAAUCCCACGGCUUCUCUGCAUGACAACUCCAGCUGCUUACGGCAAAAUUUCGCAUAACAGCUACUCCUGCUUACGUAUGACAAUUCUCUCUGGCUUCCAUAACAGCACGUAUGGCUUUUGCAUGUGAACGCAUUUCAUUUCUGCUGCACACUAACCCACACUGCUGGCUUGAGUAUCCUAACGACCUAACCCAUUCUGUAAGCUGCCGCCCAGUGCUCCAGGUGACCCCUAACAAGCCUGUCGGAUCGGCGUCUAGCGAGGGAGGUUCCGUCAGGUUCCGUUCCCUGCUAGAGCUGUCUCCCUUCACCUUAAAAAAAAUAGUUUGACAUAAUUUGAGAGCAGCAGUACAGGCCAGGUAUCAGAGAGGGGUUCAGGCCUAUAUGGGGACACCUCUGUUAGGCUUGUACCUCAAUAAAUAACUAGAAAAAAGUUGGAAAGUGUUAAACAAUGACCAUACGUAACCUAGUCAUGUGUGAAUCCUGACUAUGGAGGGAGAUUAUCCUCAAACACGUACGGUUAUAUAUAUACAUGUCUUUUACCCACCCAUGCGUGCAGUACGGGUGGUGAACUCUGACCUCUAUGAAAUAAAUAUACGUAACAGGAAAAAAA
Molecule: long non-coding RNA, 1981 nt
Organism: Eriocheir sinensis (Chinese mitten crab)
Lineage: Eukaryota; Metazoa; Arthropoda; Malacostraca; Decapoda; Varunidae
Exons: 2
Source: RefSeq, a predicted model, not a curated record